This 2906-nucleotide ribosomal RNA is filed under the name Salmonella enterica subsp. enterica serovar Newport. Its description in RNAcentral is "23S ribosomal RNA". It matches the Rfam family "Bacterial large subunit ribosomal RNA". The record is from RNAcentral. RNAcentral also lists the same sequence under 6 other names. Lineage: Bacteria; Pseudomonadati; Pseudomonadota; Gammaproteobacteria; Enterobacterales; Enterobacteriaceae.
GGUUAAGCGACUAAGCGUACACGGUGGAUGCCCUGGCAGUCAGAGGCGAUGAAGGGCGUGCUAAUCUGCGAUAAGCGCCGGUAAGGUGAUAUGAACCGUUAUAACCGGCGAUACCCGAAUGGGGAAACCCAGUGUGAUUCGUCACACUAUCAUUAACUGAAUCCAUAGGUUAAUGAGGCGAACCGGGGGAACUGAAACAUCUAAGUACCCCGAGGAAAAGAAAUCAACCGAGAUUCCCCCAGUAGCGGCGAGCGAACGGGGAGGAGCCCAGAGCCUGAAUCAGCAUGUGUGUUAGUGGAAGCGUCUGGAAAGGCGCGCGAUACAGGGUGACAGCCCCGUACACAAAAGCGCAUGUGCUGUGAGCUCGAUGAGUAGGGCGGGACACGUGGUAUCCUGUCUGAAUAUGGGGGGACCAUCCUCCAAGGCUAAAUACUCCUGACUGACCGAUAGUGAACCAGUACCGUGAGGGAAAGGCGAAAAGAACCCCGGCGAGGGGAGUGAAAAAGAACCUGAAACCGUGUACGUACAAGCAGUGGGAGCACCCUUUGGGGUGUGACUGCGUACCUUUUGUAUAAUGGGUCAGCGACUUAUAUUCUGUAGCAAGGUUAACCGUAUAGGGGAGCCGUAGGGAAACCGAGUCUUAACCGGGCGUUAAGUUGCAGGGUAUAGACCCGAAACCCGGUGAUCUAGCCAUGGGCAGGUUGAAGGUUGGGUAACACUAACUGGAGGACCGAACCGACUAAUGUUGAAAAAUUAGCGGAUGACCUGUGGCUGGGGGUGAAAGGCCAAUCAAACCGGGAGAUAGCUGGUUCUCCCCGAAAGCUAUUUAGGUAGCGCCUCGUGAAUUCAUCUCCGGGGGUAGAGCACUGUUUCGGCUAGGGGGCCAUCCCGGCUUACCAACCCGAUGCAAACUGCGAAUACCGGAGAAUGUUAUCACGGGAGACACACGGCGGGUGCUAACGUCCGUCGUGAAGAGGGAAACAACCCAGACCGCCAGCUAAGGUCCCAAAGUCAUGGUUAAGUGGGAAACGAUGUGGGAAGGCCCAGACAGCCAGGAUGUUGGCUUAGAAGCAGCCAUCAUUUAAAGAAAGCGUAAUAGCUCACUGGUCGAGUCGGCCUGCGCGGAAGAUGUAACGGGGCUAAACCAUGCACCGAAGCUGCGGCAGCGACGCUGAUGCGUUGUUGGGUAGGGGAGCGUUCUGUAAGCCUGCGAAGGUGGCCUGUGAGGGUUGCUGGAGGUAUCAGAAGUGCGAAUGCUGACAUAAGUAACGAUAAAGCGGGUGAAAAGCCCGCUCGCCGGAAGACCAAGGGUUCCUGUCCAACGUUAAUCGGGGCAGGGUGAGUCGACCCCUAAGGCGAGGCCGAAAGGCGUAGUCGAUGGGAAACGGGUUAAUAUUCCCGUACUUGGUGUUACUGCGAAGGGGGGACGGAGAAGGCUAUGUUGGCCGGGCGACGGUUGUCCCGGUUUAAGCGUGUAGGUGUGUGUUCCAGGUAAAUCCGGUUCACUUUAACACUGAGGCGUGACGACGAGGCACUACGGUGCUGAAGCAACAAAUGCCCUGCUUCCAGGAAAAGCCUCUAAGCAUCAGGUAACAUCAAAUCGUACCCCAAACCGACACAGGUGGUCAGGUAGAGAAUACCAAGGCGCUUGAGAGAACUCGGGUGAAGGAACUAGGCAAAAUGGUGCCGUAACUUCGGGAGAAGGCACGCUGACACGUAGGUGAAGUGAUUUACUCAUGGAGCUGAAGUCAGUCGAAGAUACCAGCUGGCUGCAACUGUUUAUUAAAAACACAGCACUGUGCAAACACGAAAGUGGACGUAUACGGUGUGACGCCUGCCCGGUGCCGGAAGGUUAAUUGAUGGGGUCAGCGCAAGCGAAGCUCCUGAUCGAAGCCCCGGUAAACGGCGGCCGUAACUAUAACGGUCCUAAGGUAGCGAAAUUCCUUGUCGGGUAAGUUCCGACCUGCACGAAUGGCGUAAUGAUGGCCAGGCUGUCUCCACCCGAGACUCAGUGAAAUUGAACUCGCUGUGAAGAUGCAGUGUACCCGCGGCAAGACGGAAAGACCCCGUGAACCUUUACUAUAGCUUGACACUGAACAUUGAGCCUUGAUGUGUAGGAUAGGUGGGAGGCUUUGAAGUGUGGACGCCAGUCUGCAUGGAGCCGACCUUGAAAUACCACCCUUUAAUGUUUGAUGUUCUAACGUGGACCCGUGAUCCGGGUUGCGGACAGUGUCUGGUGGGUAGUUUGACUGGGGCGGUCUCCUCCUAAAGAGUAACGGAGGAGCACGAAGGUUGGCUAAUCCUGGUCGGACAUCAGGAGGUUAGUGCAAUGGCAUAAGCCAGCUUGACUGCGAGCGUGACGGCGCGAGCAGGUGCGAAAGCAGGUCAUAGUGAUCCGGUGGUUCUGAAUGGAAGGGCCAUCGCUCAACGGAUAAAAGGUACUCCGGGGAUAACAGGCUGAUACCGCCCAAGAGUUCAUAUCGACGGCGGUGUUUGGCACCUCGAUGUCGGCUCAUCACAUCCUGGGGCUGAAGUAGGUCCCAAGGGUAUGGCUGUUCGCCAUUUAAAGUGGUACGCGAGCUGGGUUUAGAACGUCGUGAGACAGUUCGGUCCCUAUCUGCCGUGGGCGCUGGAGAACUGAGGGGGGCUGCUCCUAGUACGAGAGGACCGGAGUGGACGCAUCACUGGUGUUCGGGUUGUCAUGCCAAUGGCACUGCCCGGUAGCUAAAUGCGGAAGAGAUAAGUGCUGAAAGCAUCUAAGCACGAAACUUGCCCCGAGAUGAGUUCUCCCUGAGACUUAGAGUCUCCUGAAGGAACGUUGAAGACGACGACGUUGAUAGGCCGGGUGUGUAAGCGCAGCGAUGCGUUGAGCUAACCGGUACUAAUGAACCGUGAGGCUUAACCUU